Molecule: non-coding RNA, 1667 nt
Organism: Monodelphis domestica (gray short-tailed opossum)
Lineage: Eukaryota; Metazoa; Chordata; Mammalia; Didelphimorphia; Didelphidae
Source: RefSeq, a predicted model, not a curated record
GUGCAAUAGAAAGAGCACAGAGCCUGGAGUCAGGGAGACUCAUGAGUUCAUUAGUUUUACUUUCAAAUCUGGUCUCGGACCAGAGUCGGGAAGACACGUGUUCUAUGUGAUCUUGGGCAAGACACUUAACUCUAUUCGCCUCACUUUCCUCAUUUGUAAAAUGAGUUGGAAAAAGAAAUGGUAAACCAUUCCAGUAUCUUAGUCAAGAAAACCCCAAGUGAGAUCACAAAGAAUGAGAUACAACUGAAAAUGACUUAACAAUAACAAGUUACUAUUUGCCUGUUUCUGUGCUAGGUGGCAGACUGGAUAGAGCAACAGACCUAGAGUCAGAAGGACCUGAGUUCAAAACCACUUCCUAGCUGUGUGAUCCUGGGCAAGUCACUGAACCAUGCUGUCUGCCUCAGUUUCCUCAUCUAUAAAAAGGAGAUAAUAAUAUUGCAAGGACCAAAAUGAGAUAAUAAUUACAAGGUGGUUUGCACAGUUCCUGGCACAUAGUAAGUGACCUGUGAAGAGUCACAUAGCUAUAAGUGUCUGAGGCUAGAUUGGAAUUCAGGUCUUCCAGACUCCAAGCUCAAAGUUCUAUCUACUGCAUCACCAGCUGCCUCAACAUCUUUAGGCAGCACAAUGUGACCUGAGAUAUGACAAAUUCUGUAGCAAAACAAAGGGGCGUCAAGAUUUUGGUCCACAGAUCACAAAUGCUAUUAACAGCCUCAGAACAAGAGGGGGGAAGCAUUUAGUCAAAACUGAGAGAAAAGCAUGAGGGAGGGUGAAAUUGGUUUUGACUGCAUUCCACAACCACAAAGGGAUGGAUGUUUUUCACCUAGAGAAGAGCCAAACCAUCAAGAGCUGAACAACAGGCUGUGAACUCAAUGAGGGAAAGUGAUGACUGGUUUAGUGCCUUAUGUGUUUGCUCUAGGAAAGAAUAAGGAGACACGACUGCUUUAGGAAGACACAGCCUACUUAAGGAAGGCCAUAUUGCUACACAUCCUUGUCUGAAAGCUGGCCAAAGCAGCAAAAUGGGGGAAGGUCACAAGCAGCUAGACAAGCACGAAACUGGUGGAAAUUCCUGGUGAAGGAGUCAAGGUUCACAGGGGGAUGGUUCUAUAAUCGAGAGCAGACCAGCCUGCAGCUCACAGGAGAGAAGCAUGGGAAAACCGAAGUGUACCCACUGGUGGGAGUCCAGGGGCAUGGAACAUUGCCUGCGAUCAACUUUUUCAUCACAUUGACUGGUUUUGCUGACUUCCUCACCACCUCCCCUUCCUCUUUUUUAUAAGGAAUGGGUGUUGUAUUUUAUCAUGAGCUUUUUCUGCAUCUUUUGAAAUAGUCAUAUGGUUUCUGUUGAUUUUGUUGUUGAUAUGGUCAAUUAUGAUGAACAGAUGAAAAUAUGUUGAAUAUUACUAAUACUGAACCCUCCUUGAAUUCCUGAUACAAAGCUCACCCGGUCAUGGAGUGUGAUCCUUGUCCUAUAGUGCUGUAAUCUCCUUGCUAGUAUUUUAUUUCAAAUUUUGGCAUCAAUGCUCAUUAGGAAUAUUGCCUCUUGUUUCUUUUUUGAAAAUCCUUUGUUAUAAGGGAUGACUCUCUAGAAAGGUCAGGGAGGAUAAAGAUACAAGGCAGAAUAAAAGCAAUUAAAAUACAUGCAUAAAUAGCAAUAAAUUUCAAUUAUUAAA